GAUCAACGCUGGCGGCGUGCCUCAGACAUGCAAGUCGAACGAGAAAGUUCCCUUCGGGGAAUGAGUAAAGUGGCGCACGGGUGAGUAACACGUAGGUAAUCUACCUUCGGGUGGGGAAGUAACCCAGGGAAACUUGGGCUAACACCGCAUAAUGCAGCGGCACCACAUGGUGACAGUUGUUAAAGACGGGGGAGUUUUAGGUACCUCGCGCCUGAAGAGGAGCCUGCGGCGGAUUAGUCNGUUUGGUAAGGUAACGGACUUACCAAGGACGACGAUCCGUACGCCGGCCUGAGAGGGCGGUCGGCCACACUGACACUGACAUACGGG
This 327-nucleotide ribosomal RNA is filed under the name uncultured bacterium. RNAcentral's name for it is "bacterial SSU rRNA". It matches the Rfam family "Bacterial small subunit ribosomal RNA", at positions 28 to 330 of the family's 1533-position model. The record is from RNAcentral.